Molecule: long non-coding RNA, 1656 nt
Filed under: Bos taurus (domestic cattle)
Lineage: Eukaryota; Metazoa; Chordata; Mammalia; Artiodactyla; Bovidae
Description: long non-coding RNA NONBTAT006797
Source: RNAcentral
ACUUGCAGAAACUGCUGCUAACUUUUAAAGUUGUUUGGUUUUAAAGGCACUGAUUAUGGAUAUGUAUGAAGUCCAUGCUGUCUGUUAAAUAAAACAUCAUCCUUCAGAGUUAACAGUCCCACCAGGGCAAUAUUGCCCUUUGUAGACUUGUUUUAGCUAACAAGCCCAAUUUCUGCUUAAUAUUGGAAAUUGCAUAAAAUGUAAUUAAUGUUGAUUGGAACUUUGAGCUUUUAGUCAUAGGCCGUGUGGUCAGUCUCUCUAGAAAAGGAGGGCUUUAUUUCUUUUAUAUUUUUCUGAUCUUACUGUUUACCAAACAAUACAUUUUAGACAUAAAGUCUUUGUUUUUCUUAGAUAUUACAUGUACACUGUGCUCCUAGAAUCAGAUACAUAUUGUCUGUGUUCUCAUGGCAAAGAACCAUCAACUCAGUUCAAUUGAUGUAUGAGAUCUUCUUGUCUAAAUUUGAGCCCUUCUGACCAGAGUAUCUAAUUGAUUCCAGACAUGUCCAAACAUCCCAGGAUGUCUAGAUCCAGAUACUACAAAACAUCAGUACUUAUAAAGUCAUAUAAAGUCAGUAAAUAUUCUCAUUUCUCUCAUUUCCCAUGAGUAUCUUUGCCUCCUCAAAGUUCAUGGAAGUUCGCUGUAUGUAAGUUUAUGCACCAUUUCAGAAAGGUUAAAAAUAUACACCUGACCUUAAUCCAGAAAAAAAAUGAUUCAUUCUGAGCAGUAAAGACCUAAAUGUUAAAGAAAUGCAAAGAUGAUUUUUGCUUCUAAAGAAGCAGCUUAAUCUACUAAAAACAUUGAGUUCAAUAAAUUAUCUUAGUUUUGUGGCUUUUCGGCUUUUCAUGGAAUGGCAUUGAAUCGAAAGGAUCUAAUGUAUCCUCGAACCAGUGGCAUAUUUUGUCUGUUGAAACUAAAAAUAUUAUGUAUCUUAAUCCAAAUUAUGGUAGUUUUUAAUCUUUUUUACCUGGUCAUGUUUUAAUGACUUGAGAGGAAGUAUCUGCAAACUGUUUAUUUCAAUACAAAGAAAAAAAUUUAACAAUAAAGCUGGGUAAAAUGUUAAUUUCUUUAAUAUCUAUUCUGGUUACAAGGAUAUCGCAUAAGCUAAGUUUCCUGCUGAAAGGAAGAGUACUCUUGAAUUCUGUGCUUUCUACCCUAAGUGUGAGUCUACUCUGUUCCUAAGCCACUUGUAAAUAUAAAUCCUUCAUUUGUAUUGUUUGUUUGUUUUUAAAAGGGAGGGGUGGAAUUUCAUAAACUUCAGUUCUACAUAGUACUGGGUGUGUGAUAGAAUUGGCAGAAGGCUCUAGGGUGUAAUUUGGAAAAUUUUGUUUCCAAGUCCCAAAGAAAUAUGCACAGGGUGGUAGAAGAUGCAUGUUGUUUCUUAAUUUGUGGAAUGCUUUCUCGUUGUGCAUUGUCAGAGUGCACAUGCAUUUGUAGAUCAAAGUGUUUUUCUACCUAUUUAAUUUGUUAAGGCAAAGUAAAUAUGUUCUCUGGAGUUUGAUUUUAUGUGACAAUAGAAGAUGCUGAUUUGGGAGACAUUUAAGAUUUAAAUGCUAGUAUUUUUCUCUAGGUUUAAUUUUUAGAUUACAGUAAUUUGAAAUUAAAUUUAGAACUUCUUACAGCCUCUUGAUCUGCCACGAGGAGUGAAUAAACUAGCU